RNAcentral lists this transfer RNA (76 nucleotides) under Candidatus Methanofishera endochildressiae. Its description in RNAcentral is "tRNA-Ala". It matches the Rfam family "tRNA". Rfam says of the family: Transfer RNA (tRNA) molecules are approximately 80 nucleotides in length. Their secondary structure includes four short double-helical elements and three loops (D, anti-codon, and T loops). Lineage: Bacteria; Pseudomonadati; Pseudomonadota; Gammaproteobacteria. The record is from RNAcentral.
GGGGCCAUAGCUCAGUUGGGAGAGCACCUGCCUUGCACGCAGGGGGUCGGGAGUUCGAUCCUCCCUGGCUCCACCA